RNAcentral lists this long non-coding RNA (617 nucleotides) under Vulpes vulpes (red fox). Its description in RNAcentral is "lncRNA (ENSVVUG00000000224.1)". Lineage: Eukaryota; Metazoa; Chordata; Mammalia; Carnivora; Canidae. The record is from RNAcentral.
AGCAAUGGCAAUCACCUCAAUUUUCCUUUAACCAUAUCAUCUUUAUUUCCUUUCUUACCACUUCAGGAGUAAACUAAUAUGAAAGCAACCUGGAAACAAACUGAAUAAACAGUCUCAUGCAUCCCCUGAAAGAUUCUGUGGCAACUCUGAGUCUCCCCCGGCCCCUGUAUUUUCUCUCACUUUAUCUCUCUAUGCUUCAUUACAGCCACCAGUUACUAGACCUGAUCUGGGGAGAUGACAUCAAUAGUUUCAUUUAAUCUGCCCAGUGGCCCUACAAGGUUCAUUUAUAAACUCGACUCCUCGCUGAUGGCCCCAGUCUUUCUGAUCCACACCCCCUUCAUUCCAGGAAAACUGAAAGUCCCAGGUACAAUUAGGCUUAUCAGCACAAGGGACAAAGACCCUGUAAAAGAAUGACUAAUUGGUCGAAGGAACCAAAGGCUGAAGUGAAGAAUCACCUUUUAAAGUGGAACUUCUCCUUGACUUCACUUGUAAAAGCCCUGCCGAACAUUGACGGCAUAGAAACCAGGGAGGGCAAGGAAGCAGUGUGUCAUUUCCCCUACACCUUCAGAGAUAAUGGUCCAUGCUGAUCUGUGAUUUAUUUCUUGUACCAAAAGCUC